UCACGUUACCCCUCCAUUUAAAAUUUAUUUUAAUACAUGUACUCGGCUGUAAACCACUAAUCAAGAUGAUUAGAUUAUACAACCAAAACUGUGCAGAUGAUAUCUUUCACCCAAGAAGACUGCUACCUUUACUACAGAACGAACUGCUAAUAUAAAAAUGGUGUCCUUGUAGAAUCAAAACUGCAAAGCUGGGCAAUCUUUAAUUGCUCAAGCUGGAGAUGAAAUUGUAUUAGGAAGAAAAGUGAAGAACACAGAUACAUUACCACACCAGAAUCAGAUUAUUAGCCAACUUAAUUCAACUUAUCACCAACAUUACCUCUAUAAAGAGUUAGGGCCACAAUACAAAUCAAGGAAUAGGGGUAUGCAUCUCAAGCCAGAAAUCUAAUUUAAGGUCGAAACAGAGCUUUUCAUGCAGACAAGACUAACAGGUAGGAAUCAGUAUCCUACACAGCAGCAUUCUAAUGAGUAUAUCAUUUUUAAGGUAAAGUUUUAUUAAUGAAGGUAACAAGAUGGUAUAAUUAUGCCAGACCAAAAACUACCAUAAUAAUCUACAACAAAUCAACUAUCUCCACCAAGAAAUCUAUAUACUGCACCCCCACACAACCACCAUCUACAUUCUCUAUGCUGCUGCUCAUGCAACUCAGAUGAUUAACCCUUUGGAGUCUUUUCAAUUGAUAUCCUUCACCAAACUAACACACAUACCAACUCACAUAUACCUCACAGAACUUCCUCCUUUCUACCACCUCCUCUAACAAAUCAGUUCACAUCUUAAUUGAGGAAAAGAGAGCAGACUUAUAGUUGGAGGGUGAACCACAUUACCCUCCCCAGACCCCACUUUGUUGGACUAUACUGGGUAGUUGUUGUUGUUGUUGUUUGCUCUUUUUGCAGGGAUCUGGAAGAGCUUUUGGUCACUUGUUACACCUUCAGUCAGUCGUAUUAGUAUCCCAGAUACUCAUUCUGCUGAAUGUGAAUCAAGUUAACCAAAGUUCCACCAGAUUAGAGCCACAGGAAUAGCCAAGAGUCACAAACCAGCCUAGUCCAAGGCAGGUUUACAUGCUGAAACAUAAACAGUUCUGAACCAAGAGUCACUAAACAGUCUACAGCUGCUUGCACAAGAAGAAAAAAGUUUGUUUAUAUAGACUUAUUGGUUAAUUUUGUUGAUAUAGAAGAGAUAAGAAGUAAAAUAAAAAAUUAAAGCAAAUCUAUAAUGUGAGACAGAAGAAGAAAAAAGAAGCAAAAGUAUAGAAAAUUAUAAAACAGUAAAACUAAUCUAAAUAAAAACAUCGUAGUUUUACCAUGAUAGAGUCGUGCAGGAACAAUCCUCUGAUUAGGAGAAGAGAAGCCAGUGCUCAUACCAGCCCAGUCUAAGUGAGAAUUUCAUCUGU
RNAcentral lists this long non-coding RNA (1385 nucleotides) under Nicotiana benthamiana. Its description in RNAcentral is "long non-coding RNA (NBEN_LNC005667)". Lineage: Eukaryota; Viridiplantae; Streptophyta; Magnoliopsida; Solanales; Solanaceae. The record is from RNAcentral.